RNAcentral lists this ribosomal RNA (515 nucleotides) under uncultured bacterium. RNAcentral's name for it is "partial 16S ribosomal RNA". It matches the Rfam family "Bacterial small subunit ribosomal RNA", at positions 28 to 523 of the family's 1533-position model. The record is from RNAcentral.
GAUGAACGCUGGCGGCGUGCCUAAUACAUGCAAGUCGAGCGAAUGGAUUAAGAGCUUGCUCUUAUGAAGUUAGCGGCGGACGGGUGAGUAACACGUGGGUAACCUGCCCAUAAGACUGGGAUAACUCCGGGAAACCGGGGCUAAUACCGGAUAACAUUUUGAGCCGCAUGGUUCGAAAUUGAAAGGCGGCUUCGGCUGUCACUUAUGGAUGGACCCGCGUCGCAUUAGCUAGUUGGUGAGGUAACGGCUCACCAAGGCAACGAUGCGUAGCCGACCUGAGAGGGUGAUCGGCCACACUGGGACUGAGCCACGGCCCAGACGCCUACGGGAGGCAGCAGUAUGGAAUCUUCCGCAAUGGACGAAAGUCUGACGGAGCAACGCCGCGUGAGUGAUGAAGGCUUUCGGGUCGUAAAACUCUGUUGUUAGGGAAGAACAAGUGCUAGUUGAAUAAGCUGGCACCUUGACGGUACCUAACCAGAAAGCCACGGCUAACUACGUGCCAGCCGCCGCAGUAA